This 93-nucleotide transfer RNA is filed under the name Thermoprotei archaeon. RNAcentral describes it as "tRNA-Lys". It matches the Rfam family "tRNA". From Rfam's summary of the family: Transfer RNA (tRNA) molecules are approximately 80 nucleotides in length. Their secondary structure includes four short double-helical elements and three loops (D, anti-codon, and T loops). The record is from RNAcentral. RNAcentral also lists the same sequence under 1 other name. Lineage: Archaea; Thermoproteati; Thermoproteota; Thermoprotei.
GGGCCCGUAGCUCAGCCCGGUAGAGCGGCGGGCUUUUAACCCGUAGAGCUAUACGCGCGGAGGUCCCGGGUUCAAAUCCCGGCGGGCCCGCCA